Marasmius fiardii PR-910 is the source of this 83-nucleotide non-coding RNA. Lineage: Eukaryota; Fungi; Basidiomycota; Agaricomycetes; Agaricales; Marasmiaceae. The record is from the annotation of a GenBank genome assembly.
GGUCGCGUAGCGUAAUGGUUAACGCGCUAGUUUCCGGUGAUUAUGUAAGCUAGAGACUGUGGGUUCGAGUCCCACCGUGAUCG